CGCAAUGGGCGAAAGCCUGACGGAGCAAGACCGCGUGAGGGAGGAAGGCUCUUGGGUUGUAAACCUCUUUUUUUGGGGAAGAACAAAAUGACGGUACCCAAGGAAUCAGCAUCGGCUAACUCCGUGCCAGCAGCCGCGGUAAUACGGAGGAUGCAAGCGUUAUCCGGAAUUAUUGGGCGUAAAGCGUCCGCAGGUGGCACUUCAAGUUUGCUGUCAAAGACCGGGGCUUAACCCUGGAGAGGCAGUGGAAACUGAAGCGCUAGAGUGUUGUAGGGGUAGAGGGAAUUCCUGGUGUAGCGGUGAAAUGCGUAGAGAUCAGGAAGAACAUCGGUGGCGAAAACGCUUUACUGGACGACAACUGACACUCAGGGACGAAAGCUA
RNAcentral lists this ribosomal RNA (381 nucleotides) under uncultured Phormidium sp. RNAcentral describes it as "bacterial SSU rRNA". It matches the Rfam family "Bacterial small subunit ribosomal RNA", at positions 367 to 762 of the family's 1533-position model. Lineage: Bacteria; Bacillati; Cyanobacteriota; Cyanophyceae; Oscillatoriales; Oscillatoriaceae. The record is from RNAcentral.